GUGUAUCAGAGCUGGCUGUAGAUGGAGACAAAAUCAUUGUAUUUGGGCCAAAGAAGGAGAGCAAGAUGUGACAGAGAAUGCUUGCAAAAAGAUCUCUUCUUCAAAAGUGAGGCCAAAGAUAACCUGCAUCUUUCCCAGUACUGUAUCUUACUUUGGCAGACACAAUGCUCUGCUGACUGGAACUGACCUUGAAGAUGUGAUUGGAGUAAAGGUUCAGGCAGAACUGGACUGUUCUUCAAAGGA
Cyprinodon tularosa is the source of this 243-nucleotide long non-coding RNA. RefSeq lists it as uncharacterized. The transcript has 3 exons. The record is from RefSeq and is a predicted model, not a curated record. NCBI's taxonomy places the organism in Eukaryota, Metazoa, Chordata, Actinopteri, Cyprinodontiformes, Cyprinodontidae.